UUGGAUCCGUCACCAUCUACUCACUCUCCUCUCUUGGCUGGCCUCUGUAUAUGGGCAAAUGCAAACCAAACUCCGUGAGCUUCCCACAUCAAAGUGACAGUUAUAACCAAGCCGCUGGAGGCUCGAGUUAAAAGGAGUGUCAGACACUUUCCAACGUCCUUAGAAGGCUAAACUGGUUCAAGGAAAACAAUCAGGAAAUAACCAGAUGUGUGGGCCCUGAGCUGGGCUGCAUCUGCUCCAUCCUGAGAAUAAACCAAACCCAGAUCUCCUCCCACGUGGUUUGACAGGCUUCCUAACUGGUACCUGCUGCUCACUCAGCCCAGACCACAGCUCCAUUAGGCUAACAGCUCUUUCAUUUCCCACUCGCCAGCUGACCACGACCCCAGAGCUGUUAGAAUUCUCCCUCCUUUAGAACGUGGACUAUAAAGAACGCAGGAUGGAGAAACAGAAAAACUACGUUUGUGUCCCAGAUUCUACACCUGUUCUGCGUGACCUUGAACACACUGCCUCUUUCCAAGGACUCCGUAUCACCAUCUGCAAAAUGGGGCACUGCAUCCUUACCUCCCACGCCGAGGUUAACCUUGCGGGGAUCUGGAUCCUCCCGGAAGUCCGCAGUGAGCUUAAAGACCAGUACUGGAGGGGCCUGGGGGACCUGGGCAAAGACUGACGGAGGCGCCAUCGCGACGGAAUCUGCCGAGACCUCGAGCGGGAGCCCAGAGCCGCUCAGUGCAGUGCGGGGCGCGGUGACCGGAGGAGACUCUCACCUUCACCGGCGGGCGGGGACAGCCCGCGGCUUCCAAUGGCCGAGCCGCGUCCGGAACUUGGCAACGCGCUUAACCAAUCACAACCUUCCGACGAAGAUGGGUUAGGCGGGACAAGUCUCUAUUAGCCAAUUCAAGAAGAGGAUCUUAUCGGAGGCUCGUAUGAUGCAACCAGUGCGAUUUACACCGGAGGAGGUGUGGGCGGGGACAAGGGUGAUUGGCAUAGCUUGUUCCAAUCGCUGAGGCUUUUAUUCCUUGGGGUGAUGAGGAUGUUGCGGGUGGCUGGAGUCCCGAAGGACAGACUCCUUGCCCUUCUGGCGCAUGGAGACCUGGGGCAGUGGCCCGCCCGUGGGAGUUGCAGAGGACAGGUGUUCCUGUACCUGCUGAGCAGGUGGUUGUACCCGCCAGGCCCCCGCAGUGCUCACGUUCCUGAGCUGGCCAGGCAGGGCUGACAGCCAAGCCCCCGGCAUUUGUGCGCAGAACUCCAGUGGUCCGCCUGGACACGCUGUACCCGAGCGUGGGUGACCUUGACCAUCUCCACUCAGUGUUUCCCCAGAAAGAAACCUGGGAGUGCCUUCUGCCUUGAGCGCUGGCCGAGGAGACCCUGCAGAAAGUAAGGGAUGAGCGCAUGCUAGUUUGAGAAUUUUACUCCCCGUUUACUUACAGAAAGGGGGGGCCUAGUCCUCAAGGACCUUGAAGGAUCUGGCGAGGCCUCCCUCUGUAGCGUUCCUCCCACGUGUACUGUCAUCGAUUGGCCGAUACCCAAGCUACUGCUUCUUUUUGUCAGGCGGCUCCUUCCCCGAGACUAUUUCUGCCCAGAUCCUUUCUCCACCUGUUAACCUUGAAGAUUCCUGUCUGUCAGCCCUCCAUAAAACCUUUCCUCAACCCUCA
Molecule: long non-coding RNA, 1652 nt
Organism: Peromyscus eremicus (cactus mouse)
Lineage: Eukaryota; Metazoa; Chordata; Mammalia; Rodentia; Cricetidae
Exons: 2
Source: RefSeq, a predicted model, not a curated record